AUACAGAGGGUGCGAGCGUUAAUCGGAAUUACUGGGCGUAAAGCGCGCGUAGGCGGUCUAUUAAGUCAGAUGUGAAAUCCCAGGGCUCAACCUUGGAACUGCAUCUGAUACUGGUAGACUAGAGUUUUGGAAAGGGAAGUAGAAUUUCAGGUGUAGCGGUGAAAUGCAUAGAGAUCUGAAGGAAUACCAGUGGCGAAGGCGACUUCCUGGCCAAAAACUGACGCUGAGGUGCGAAAGCGUGGGUAGCAAACGGGAUUAGAAACCCUAGUAGUCC
This 274-nucleotide ribosomal RNA is filed under the name uncultured bacterium. Its description in RNAcentral is "partial 16S ribosomal RNA". It matches the Rfam family "Bacterial small subunit ribosomal RNA", at positions 523 to 796 of the family's 1533-position model. The record is from RNAcentral.